CCUACGGGUGGCAGCAGUGAGGAAUAUUGGUCAAUGGACGAGAGUCUGAACCAGCCAAGUAGCGUGAAGGAUGACUGCCCUAUGGGUUGUAAACUUCUUUUAUAUGGGAAUAAAAUGUUCCACGUGUGGGAUUUUGUAUGUACCAUAUGAAUACGGAUCGGCUAACUCCGUGCCAGCAGCCGAGGUAAUACGGAGGGUCCGAGCGUUAUCCGGAUUUAUUGGGUUUAUAGGGAGCGUAGGUGGAUUGUUAAGUCAGUUGUGAAAGUUUGCGGCUCAACCGUAAAAUUGCAGAUGAAACUGGCAGUCUUGAGUACAGUAGAGGUAGGCGGAAUUCGUGGUGUAGCGGUGAAAUGCUUAGAUAUCACGAAGAACUCCGAUUGCGAAGGCAGUUCACUGGACUGCAACUGACACUGAGGCUCGAAAGUGUGGGUAUCAAACAGGAUUAGAUACCCCUGUAGUC
RNAcentral lists this ribosomal RNA (460 nucleotides) under uncultured bacterium. RNAcentral describes it as "partial 16S ribosomal RNA". It matches the Rfam family "Bacterial small subunit ribosomal RNA", at positions 338 to 795 of the family's 1533-position model. The record is from RNAcentral.